Molecule: non-coding RNA, 139 nt
Organism: Sphenostylis stenocarpa
Lineage: Eukaryota; Viridiplantae; Streptophyta; Magnoliopsida; Fabales; Fabaceae
Source: the annotation of a GenBank genome assembly
GUCAGGAUGGCCGAGUGGUCUAAGGUGUGGGUUCUAAUCGUAGUUCUGAAAAAAUAUUGACUUGGGAGAUAUUAAAUGACUUUUGAGUAAGGAUGGUCGAUUGGUUUAAGGUGUGUGGGUUCAAAUCCUACUUCUGACA